Podarcis lilfordi (Lilford's wall lizard) is the source of this 2643-nucleotide non-coding RNA. The record is from the annotation of a GenBank genome assembly. Lineage: Eukaryota; Metazoa; Chordata; Lepidosauria; Squamata; Lacertidae.
UGUGUAGCGAUUAAUAAUUGUUAUUUUUAUAAUAGUUGUUUUUAAUAAUGAAAAAAAUACCGUUUACAAUGAAAAUAGCGAGUUGGGAUUGCUGCUGUUGUUAGAUUCAGGCAGCCCUGUCUUCCGAGAGCAGCAGCACCAAGCAUGUGCAGAGUGCCGUUGUCCUGAAUUUGGGUAGGAGGGGUGGAUUUUGUAGGUUUUUCACACGCACCCGCAAAGGCUUGUGAAGCUCAUUAUUUAGCGGGUGGACAGCGUAGGCGCAAGGUGUUGCAGGAAACCCCCUCCCCAAUCAUUCAGUUUGUACCAACUCGACACACUCACACACAGCGUACAAGACGCUUCUGUUAUAAAUUCAUAGAAAAUCACCCGUACAUCGGAUCUGUACCGUUCCACUUUUAUUUUACACCAUGAAGGAAGGACUAUCAAAGGGGAGAGACUUGACACAAGGCAGCCAACACGUCCGCAGGGAGCCCUACCCAGUUAGCAUGCCAACCUUGAUGGUCCUAGACAGAAAAUCAUUACACUCACAAAGCACCUGCAUAUGAAAGUGGAUUCAGUACGGACUGAAACAAAGGACAGUGACCAGCUCUUCCCUCUGGGGGCAGGAAACAGUGAACUCCUCUUUGUCCUCAGGAAUGUAAUCAUGGGGAGAGGGGAAGGAGGAACGGGACAGGUGACAAGACACUCAGGUUACCACCACAACUCCUCCCUGAACCCCUCCUUUUUGUGAUGUGUCAAUGAUGUAGUUAUGAUGUAGUCUUAGGGGUGUAGCAUGAGGGAUUAGUAGCUAAUAAAAGUUGGGGUCUUCUUUUGUUCAGGGCUUCCAUCUUGCUUCAUCCUGUGGUGAGUUGGAGUCCUGUUGCAACAGUCUCAAUAAAGACCAAGCCUACUGGCUGCUGUUUUGCUCCAACUGUCCUGGUUGGUGUCUUUGCUUUUUGUCCAAGGGAGCCCUCGGAUUUCUCUGUUAACAAAGGCAUGGCCAAACUUGGCCCUCCAGCUGUUUUGGGACUACAAUUCCCAUCAUCCCUGACCACUGGUCCUGUUAGCUAGGGAUGAUGGGAGUUGUAGUCCCAAAACAGCUGGAAGGCCAAGUUUGGCCAUACUGUAGGGGGAAGAUCCCCAAGGGGGAUCAGAAGCCGCAAGGACAGUGGCAGACGCACAGACGCCGGCACAGACUUUUGCGAAGGCAGCGAGGAGGCUCCUCCCGAAGCCUACGCGGAAGGGAUGGAGAAACCCACCCACCCACCCUACCAAACGGCUGUGGGGCAGCGGGACACAAUAUUUGCUAAUCCUUUGGUUGGAAGGAGCUUACCAAGAAUGCCUCUCUCUCUCCUCAAAGAUUGUGCAUCCCACACUACCAAUGCAAAAAUGGAACAUGAACAUGUGCAAAAUUAUUUUUUUGUGAUCUAAGUUCACAUCCAGAUUGAAUGCCCACGUGAGCGUGUGUGUGUGUGUGUGUGUGUGUGUGUGUACGGUGCUAAACCAUGAGAAGGGAACCUUUGGCCCCCUGGAUGUUGCUGAGCUACAACUCCCAACAGCCCCAGCAAGCAUGGCCAAUAGCCAGAGAUGGUUGGGAGUUGUAGUUCAGCAAUGCACUCUUGCGCUAGACUGUUGAUCCACAAAUGUAUUGUUAGUUAUUGGUCAUUGUACUGCUAUUUAUUAAUGGCUGAAUGAAAUAGACUGAUAUUAACAGGCUUGUGGGUUGUUAUGCUUCUGAAUGCCCUCCAGGAAUUCAGGAAUCUGGGGAUACUUAUUUUUGGAAAUAGAGGAAACAACAACCCUUUAUUUUGAACAGGUGUCUCCACCCAUCACAAGAAAAACUGUAUGGUUGAUUAAUGCAACGGACAAGCUGAUGGGCUUGGCACAUAUAUGGAACGGAGUAACUCUGGAAGGUAGAAAGGUGAGAAUCCAUUGUCCAGUAUCGGAACGUCUAUUGCAAAAUGCCUUCUCCUAGGAAUGACUGUUUUCUCUAUUUAGCCAUUCUUAUUGACAAUUAUAUAAGCUGUCUCUUGGUAUCUGUUUUGUUACUAUUGUUGUUUCAUAUUUAUAUAUGAAUAAUAUUUCAAAAAUAUGUUUCCAUUCACCAUCCUUUGUCUAUGAGGUGUGGGUGGGUGGGUGACUCUGGAAUGCACUGCUAGUCAUGUGCAGUGCACUCAUUACAAAUAUGGUACUCUUCAGACGUUGGCUACCACAACAUUAAAACUAUUCCUCUGCUAUCCAAGUCAGUAUAAACUGCAGGGAUUUAACAAGCAAACUCUCUGCUACUCAACCCUCCCAAUGCUUUUCACCCCCAUCCCACCCAACUAUGAAAGAACACACAAAUCUGACUUACACCAAGUCAGAACACUGGUCAACCUAUCACAGAAUUGUUACUGGAAUAAAACUUUCAAAUAUCCAGAUAGUAGUUGAGCCAUUUCCACCUCAACUACUCAAGAUCUUUCUAGGUGAAGAUGUGGGAAAUUGAACCUAGGACCUGACCUUCUACAAGCAAAACAUGAGUUGUACCACUAAGAGGACCAUUCCUUGCCUUCAUGCAAUCACCGCAGAGCUCCCUGCAACAUUCAACCCACAAGCACAGUGCUUGACAAAAGUUGCGAGAAUCCAAGUGUGGAUAACGAAUCGAACAGAUGCAAUAAAAAGCAG